Molecule: ribosomal RNA, 341 nt
Filed under: uncultured bacterium
Lineage: Bacteria
Description: bacterial SSU rRNA
Rfam family: Bacterial small subunit ribosomal RNA
Source: RNAcentral
CUGGCCUUGACAUGCUGAGAACUUUCCAAAGAUGGAUUGGUGCCUUCGGGAACUCAGACACAGGUGCUGCAUGGCGUUGUCAGCUCGUGUCGUGAGAUGUUGGGUUAAGUCCCGUAACGAGCGCAACCCUUGUCCUUAGUUACCAGCACGUUAUGGUGGGCACUCUAAGGAGACUGCCGGUGACAAACCGGAGGAAGGUGGGGAUGACGUCAAGUCAUCAUGGCCCUUACGGCCAGGGCUACACACGUGCUACAAUGGUCGGUACAAAGGGUUGCCAAGCCGCGAGGUGGAGCUAAUCCCAUAAAACCGAUCGUAGUCCGGAUCGCAGUCUGCAACUCGAC